UCAGAUUGAACGCUGGCGGCAUGCCUUACACAUGCAAGUCGAACGGCAGCACGGGGGCAAYCCUGGUGGCGAGUGGCGAACGGGUGAGUAACAUAUCGGAACGUGCCCUGGAGUGGGGGAUAACUAGUCGAAAGACUAGCUAAUACCGCAUACGAUCUACGGAUGAAAGUGGGGGAUCGCAAGACCUCAUGCUCGUGGAGCGGCCGAUAUCUGAUUAGCUAGUUGGUGGGGUAAAGGCCUACCAAGGCAUCGAUCAGUAGCUGGUCUGAGAGGACGACCAGCCACACUGGGACUGAGACACGGCCCAGACUCCUACGGGAGGCAGCAGUGGGGAAUUUUGGACAAUGGGCGCAAGCCUGAUCCAGCAAUGCCGCGUGAGUGAAGAAGGCCUUCGGGUUGUAAAGCUCUUUUGUCAGGGAAGAAACGGUCUGGGUUAAUACCUUGGGCUAAUGACGGUA
RNAcentral lists this ribosomal RNA (458 nucleotides) under Noviherbaspirillum sp. Its description in RNAcentral is "bacterial SSU rRNA". It matches the Rfam family "Bacterial small subunit ribosomal RNA", at positions 24 to 477 of the family's 1533-position model. The record is from RNAcentral. Lineage: Bacteria; Pseudomonadati; Pseudomonadota; Betaproteobacteria; Burkholderiales; Oxalobacteraceae.